UACGGAGGGUGCAAGCGUUAUCCGGAUUUAUUGGGUUUAAAGGGUGCGUAGGCGGCUUAUUAAGUCAGUGGUGAAAUACUCUAGCUCAACUAGAGGGGUGCCAUUGAUACUGAUGAGCUUGAGUACAGAUGAGGUAGGCGGAAUUGACGGUGUAGCGGUGAAAUGCUUAGAUAUCGUCAAGAACACCUAUAGCGAAGGCAGCUUACUAGGCUGUAACUGACGCUGAGGCACGAAAGUGUGGGGAUCAAACAGG
Molecule: ribosomal RNA, 253 nt
Filed under: uncultured bacterium
Lineage: Bacteria
Description: partial 16S ribosomal RNA
Rfam family: Bacterial small subunit ribosomal RNA
Source: RNAcentral